GACGAACGCUGGCGGCGUGCUUAACACAUGCAAGUCGAACGGCAAGGCCCUGCUUUUGUGGGGUGCUCGAGUGGCGAACGGGUGAGUAACACGUGAGUAACCUGCCCUUGACUUUGGGAUAACUUCAGGUAACUGGGGCUACUAUCGGAUAGGAGCUCCUGCUGCAGGGUGGGGGUUGGAAAGUUUCGGCGGUUGGGGAUGGACUCGCGGCUUAUGAGCUUGUUGGUGGGGGAGUGGUUUACCAAGGCUUUGACGGGUAGGCGGCCUGAGAGGGGGACCGGGGACAUUGCGACUGAGAGACGGCCCAGACUCGUACAGGAGGCAGCGGUGGGGAAUAUUGGACAGUGGGCGGAAGUCAGUGGAAGCAACUCGGCGUGUGGGAUGACGGUCUGCGGGGUGUAAACCGCAUUCGGCUGUGACGCAGAUGGAGUGACGGUAAUGGGUAAAUAAGCACCGGCUAAGUACGUG
This 468-nucleotide ribosomal RNA is filed under the name uncultured bacterium. RNAcentral describes it as "partial 16S ribosomal RNA". It matches the Rfam family "Bacterial small subunit ribosomal RNA", at positions 28 to 507 of the family's 1533-position model. The record is from RNAcentral.